Molecule: transfer RNA, 71 nt
Filed under: Camelus bactrianus (Bactrian camel)
Lineage: Eukaryota; Metazoa; Chordata; Mammalia; Artiodactyla; Camelidae
Also listed under: 3 other names
Rfam family: tRNA
About the family: Transfer RNA (tRNA) molecules are approximately 80 nucleotides in length. Their secondary structure includes four short double-helical elements and three loops (D, anti-codon, and T loops).
Source: Rfam by way of RNAcentral
GGGUAUAUAGCUCAGUGGUGGAGUGUGUGCUUAGCAUGCACAAGGUCCUGGGUUCAAUCCCAGUCCCUCCA